This 402-nucleotide ribosomal RNA is filed under the name uncultured bacterium. RNAcentral's name for it is "bacterial SSU rRNA". It matches the Rfam family "Bacterial small subunit ribosomal RNA", at positions 362 to 757 of the family's 1533-position model. The record is from RNAcentral.
UUUUGGACAAUGGGCGCAAGCCUGAUCCAGCCAUUCCGCGUGAGUGAAGAAGGCCUUCGGGUUGUAAAGCUCUUUCGCAAGGGAAGAAAACCCUCCUUUCUAAUAAAGAGUGAGGUUGACGGUACCUUGAUAAGAAGCACCGGCUAACUACGUGCCAGCAGCCGCGGUAAUACGUAGGGUGCGAGCGUUAAUCGGAAUUACUGGGCGUAAAGCGUGCGCAGGCGGCUUUGUAAGUCAGAUGUGAAAUCCCCGAGCUCAACUUGGGAACUGCGUUUGAAACUACAAGGCUAGAAUAUGUCAGAGGGGGGUAGAAUUCCACGUGUAGCAGUGAAAUGCGUAGAGAUGUGGAGGAAUACCAAGGCGAAGGCGACCCCCUGGAUUUCUGUGACGCUCAUGCACGAA